This is a non-coding RNA of Danio rerio (zebrafish), 58 nucleotides long. The record is from Rfam. Lineage: Eukaryota; Metazoa; Chordata; Actinopteri; Cypriniformes; Danionidae.
UGUAAACAUCCUACACUCUCAGCUGUGACGUCACCAAGCUGGGAGAGGGAUGUUUACU